ACCCCUGUAGCUCAGUGGUAGAGCAGGCGGCUCUUAACCGUCGGGUCCUCGGUUCGAACCCGAGUGGGGGUAC
Molecule: transfer RNA, 73 nt
Filed under: Microbacterium phage Elva
Lineage: Duplodnaviria; Heunggongvirae; Uroviricota; Caudoviricetes
Description: tRNA-Lys
Rfam family: tRNA
About the family: Transfer RNA (tRNA) molecules are approximately 80 nucleotides in length.
Source: RNAcentral